RNAcentral lists this unclassified non-coding RNA (253 nucleotides) under uncultured Bacteroidota bacterium. RNAcentral describes it as "uncultured Bacteroidetes bacterium contains 16S-23S intergenic spacer region". It matches the Rfam family "Bacterial small subunit ribosomal RNA", at positions 524 to 776 of the family's 1533-position model. Lineage: Bacteria; Pseudomonadati; Bacteroidota. The record is from RNAcentral.
UACGGAGGGUGCAAGCGUUGUCCGGAAUCACUGGGCGUAAAGGGUGUGCAGGCGGGGCAGCAAGUCAGCGGUGAAAUCCUACGGCUUAACCGUAGAAGUGCCGUUGAAACUGUUGCUCUUGAGUCCUAGAGAGGUCGCUGGAAUUCGUGGUGUAGCGGUGAAAUGCGUAGAUAUCACGAGGAACACCAGAUGCGUAAGCGAGCGACUGGAUAGGUACUGACGCUGAGGCACGAAAGCGUGGGGAGCAAACAGG